GAUCAACGCUGGCGGCGUGCCUAAUACAUGCAAGUCGAGCGAACGGACGAGAAGCUUGCUUCUCUGAUGUUAGCGGCGGACGGGUGAGUAACACGUGGAUAACCUACCUAUAAGACUGGGAUCACUUCGGGAAACCGGAGCUAAUACCGGAUAAUAUUUUGAACCGCAUGGUUCAAUAGUGAAAGACGGUCUUGCUGUCACUUAUAGAUGGAUCCGCGCUGCAUUAGCUAGUUGGUAAGGUAACGGCUUACCAAGGCAACGAUGCAUAGCCGACCUGAGAGGGCGAUCGGCCACACUGGAACUGAGACACGGUCCAGACUCCUACGGGAGGCAGCAGUAGGGAAUCUUCGGCAAUGGGCGAAAGCCUGACGGAGCAACGCCGCGUGAGUGAUGAAGGUCUUCGGAUCGUAAAACUCUGUUAUUAGGGAAGAACAUAUGUGUAAGUAACUGUGCACAUCUUGACGGUACCUAAUCAGAAAGCCCCGGCUAACUACGUG
Molecule: ribosomal RNA, 497 nt
Filed under: uncultured bacterium
Lineage: Bacteria
Description: partial 16S ribosomal RNA
Rfam family: Bacterial small subunit ribosomal RNA
Source: RNAcentral